Molecule: small nuclear RNA, 104 nt
Filed under: Colobus angolensis palliatus
Lineage: Eukaryota; Metazoa; Chordata; Mammalia; Primates; Cercopithecidae
Source: RNAcentral
GUGCUCACUUUGACAGCACAUAUACUACAACUGGAACAAUACAGAGAUUAGCAUGGACCCUGUGCAAGGAUGACACAAAAAUUCAUGAAGCAUUCCAUAUUUUU